Phrynosoma platyrhinos (Desert horned lizard) is the source of this 72-nucleotide non-coding RNA. The record is from the annotation of a GenBank genome assembly. Lineage: Eukaryota; Metazoa; Chordata; Lepidosauria; Squamata; Phrynosomatidae.
GCCAGUGUAGCAUAGUGGUUUGAGCAUUGGACUUCAACUCUGCAGACCAGGGUUUGAAUCCUGGCUCAGCCA